GGUAUCUAACGAGCUCGUUUUUUCUCCGUUGCUUGUAUGUUUUAUAUCAGAGGUUAGACAUAGUGUAUUUAGUCUCAUUUUUAAAUACCCAGAUGAUUACCGUGUGUAAAUCUGUGUUGUGUUUGUUUCAAAGAACUAUAGCUUUAUUCUAAUGAUCUUCAAGAUAUAAUUGUAUUACCCGUUGUUGUGAGAUUACUGAAGUUUGUUUUUUUGAUGACUUUUUCUUUUGAGAACUCAAAAGAUCCAAGAAGCUACCUAAAAAUUGAUGUGUGAGACUUUACUACAGAAAGUUUGAUUAUACUGGAUUGAGAAAUGUAUUCCUUGCUGGUUAUCAUUAUCAGAUUUGGAUUGGGCUUUGUAUUGGGUACUUCAUCAUCAUAUCGUCGCCCUUGGGAAAUUUUCCAAGAUCUUAAUUUCUGACUAGUUGAUAUUGGGAACGUAGUCUGCCAAGAUCACCAUUGCUGACUUAUUUCCAUGAGGACCGUAGCCUGCCGAGAUCUCCGUUACUGACCUAGUUUCCAUGAGGACCGUAUCCUGCCGAGAUCUCUAUUACUGACUUAGUUUCCAUGAGGAGGACCGUAGCCUGCCGAGAUCUCCAUUACUGACCUAGUUUCCAUGAGGAGGACCGUAGCCUGCCGAGAUCUCCAUUGCUGACCUAGUUUCCAUGAGGAGGACCGUAGCCUGCCGAGAUCUCCAUUACUGACCUAGUUUCCAUGAGGAGGACUGUAGCCUGCCGAGAUCUCCAUUACUGACCUAGUUUCCAUGAGGACCGUAUCCUGCCGAGAUCUCCAUUACUGACU
Parasteatoda tepidariorum (common house spider) is the source of this 800-nucleotide non-coding RNA. Lineage: Eukaryota; Metazoa; Arthropoda; Arachnida; Araneae; Theridiidae. The record is from RefSeq and is a predicted model, not a curated record.